Molecule: ribosomal RNA, 253 nt
Filed under: uncultured bacterium
Lineage: Bacteria
Description: partial 16S ribosomal RNA
Rfam family: Bacterial small subunit ribosomal RNA
Source: RNAcentral
UACGUAGGGUGCGAGCGUUAAUCGGAAUUACUGGGCGUAAAGGGUGCGCAGGCGGUUUUGUAAGCCGGAUGUGAAAUCCCCGGGCUCAACCUGGGAAUGGCAUUUGGGACUGCAAGGCUAGAGUGUGGCAGAGGAGACUGGAAUUCCCGGUGUAGCAGUGAAAUGCGUAGAUAUCGGGAGGAAUACCGAUGGCGAAGGCAGGUCUCUGGGCUGACACUGACGCUCAUGCACGAAAGCGUGGGGAGCAAACAGG